This 62-nucleotide transfer RNA is filed under the name Paleosuchus palpebrosus (Cuvier's dwarf caiman). RNAcentral's name for it is "transfer RNA-Ser (AGY)". Lineage: Eukaryota; Metazoa; Chordata; Crocodylia; Alligatoridae. The record is from RNAcentral.
GAGGAGGACCAAUGCAAGAGCUGCUAACUCCUGCCCCCAAGUCUGACCCCCUGGCCCCCUCG